Non-coding RNA from Delphinapterus leucas (beluga whale), 937 nucleotides. Lineage: Eukaryota; Metazoa; Chordata; Mammalia; Artiodactyla; Monodontidae. The record is from RefSeq and is a predicted model, not a curated record.
GGACCGGGGCACGAACCCGUGUCCCCUGCAUCGGCAGGCGGACUCUCAGCCACUGCGCCACCAGGGAAGCCCGACACUGUACUUUUUAAAAAAUUUAUAUUGACUAGAGGAUGUGGAGCCAGUAAAAUAUUAUGCCCCUCUUACUGCUUUACUUACUGCCUUAGAUGGAUACUUUAACUAGUUCCAUUGGGGUAAAAAAGUAUACAAUCGAAAACUGUUUCAUUGAUAGAUUCAAUACUGUGAAUAUUCUUUAAGUCACCUUUUUAAUUUAUAACGGUUUGUGUUUUUCUUUUUUUUUUUUCCUUUUUCUCUCUUUUAUAGUUCUUAUCUUUCUUUUCCGGUUGUGUUUUUCUGUUUGGCUUUUUUGGGUUUUUUUGAAGAUGCCAUACUAUCUAGACAGGGCUAAUAGAAACAGAAAACGUGAUAUCCACGUAUGGGGCAAGCCUACAGAGGAAAACCCACAUAUGGGGUGGCAAAAGCAAGGCCAAACAGCCUCACAGGGAGGGGGAAGCAUACGCUCAUGAGGAGGGGAAUUCUUCUGGAGCUCUUCAUACUUUUUUUUUUUUUUUUAGUUGCAGUGAUCGGGGGCUACUCUUCGUUGCAGUGUGCUGGCUUCUCAUUUCAGUGGCUUCUCUUGUUGCGGAGAAUAGGCUCUAGGACACCCACACUUGGACCCAAUCAUCAUGCUGUGAGGAAGAUGGUGCCACGUGGAGAGGCCUUGUAUAGAUAUUCCAGCCAACAGGCCCAGCUAAGGUAUCAGCCAACAUCAACCAUUCAACAUGUGGGUGAAUGAGCCUUCAGAUGAUUCCAGCUCCCAGCCUCUGAGUCUUCCAGCUGCAGCCUCAGACAUUGGAACAGAAACAAGCUGUCCCCACUGUGUCCUAUCUGAACUCCUGACCCACUGGGAGCAUAAUAAAUUAUUGUUUUGUGCCACCAA